RNAcentral lists this ribosomal RNA (433 nucleotides) under uncultured bacterium. RNAcentral's name for it is "partial 16S ribosomal RNA". It matches the Rfam family "Bacterial small subunit ribosomal RNA", at positions 29 to 507 of the family's 1533-position model. The record is from RNAcentral.
AACGAACGCUGGCGGCAUGCCUAACACAUGCAAGUCGAACGAGACAUUCGGGCUUAGUGGCGCACGGGUGGGUAACGGGUGGGAACCUGCCUUUAAGUUUGGCAUAAAUCCCCGAAUGAGGUGCUAAAACCGGCGAAUAUACUCCGAACAAAGGUUGAUCGCAAUUGGAUGGGCCUGCGAUGGCUUAGCUAGUUGGUAGGGUAAAACCCUAUCAAGGCGUCGAUCGAUAACUGGUUAGAGAGGCUGGUCAGCCACACUGGGCCUGAGACACGGCCCGGACUCCUACGGGAUGCAGCAGUGGGGAAUAUAGGACUAUGGGCGGAGGCCUGAUCCAGCAAUGCCGCGUGAGUAAUGAAGGCCGUAGGGUUGUAAAGCACUUUUACCCGGUGUGAUAAUGACAGUACCGGGAGAAUAAGCACCGGCUAACUCCGUG